UACGGGGGGGGCAAGCGUUGUUCGGAAUUACUGGGCGUAAAGGGCUAGUAGGUUGCCAACUAAGUCAGACGUGAAAUCCCUCGGCUUAACCGGGGAACUGCGUCUGAUACUGGAUGGCUUGAGUUCGGGAGAGGGAUGCGGAAUUCCAGGUGUAGCGGUGAAAUGCGUAGAUAUCUGGAGGAACACCGGUGGCGAAGGCGGCAUCCUGGACCGACACUGACACUGAGGAGCGAAAGCCAGGGGAGCAAACGGG
RNAcentral lists this ribosomal RNA (253 nucleotides) under uncultured bacterium. Its description in RNAcentral is "partial 16S ribosomal RNA". It matches the Rfam family "Bacterial small subunit ribosomal RNA", at positions 524 to 776 of the family's 1533-position model. The record is from RNAcentral.